GCCUCGGUAGCGCAGUAGGCAGCGCGGCAGUCUCAUAAUCUGAAGGUCGUGAGUUCGAUCCUCACUCGGGGCA
RNAcentral lists this transfer RNA (73 nucleotides) under Dermacentor andersoni. RNAcentral describes it as "transfer RNA methionine (anticodon CAU)". It matches the Rfam family "tRNA". From Rfam's summary of the family: Transfer RNA (tRNA) molecules are approximately 80 nucleotides in length. Lineage: Eukaryota; Metazoa; Arthropoda; Arachnida; Ixodida; Ixodidae. The record is from RNAcentral.